AUUUAUACCAAGUCUUAUUUUUUUCAUUUUUGUCAGAGCUGUUGAUGUAACGUUCGAUACAAAACUGAGUAAACGUGCGGUUAAUACAAAAUGUCAGCGGAUAUUUGAUUUGAACAAGAGAAGAAAGCAUUAUUUACGCAGAAACGUGUUUUUUUUAAAGUCUUCUGAUAUUUCAAGUCAACUAAACGGAAACAUAACGGUUUUCUGUAUUGCACAUGUAUUUUAUGCUGUGUACAAUUUCUGAAUAUUUCCAUCUCUUGUAUGCACCAACAUAUGUCUAUUAUAAGAUAUGUUUU
Molecule: long non-coding RNA, 296 nt
Filed under: Mytilus galloprovincialis (Mediterranean mussel)
Lineage: Eukaryota; Metazoa; Mollusca; Bivalvia; Mytilida; Mytilidae
Source: RNAcentral